UGGGGAAUAUUGCACAAUGGGCGCAAGCCUGAUGCAGCCAUGCCGCGUGUAUGAAGAAGGCCGUCGGGUUGUAAAGUACUUUCAGCGGGGAGGAAGGGAGUAAAGUUAAUACCUUUGCUCAUUGACGUUACCCGCAGAAGAAGCACCGGCUAACUCCGUGCCAGCAGCCGCGGUAAUACGGAGGGUGCAAGCGUUAAUCGGAAUUACUGGGCGUAAAGCGCACGCAGGCGGUUUGUUAAGUCAGAUGUGAAAUCCCCGGGCUCAACCUGGGAACUGCAUCUGAUACUGGCAAGCUUGAGUCUCGUAGAGGGGGGUAGAAUUCCAGGUGUAGCGGUGAAAUGCGUAGAGAUCUGGAGGAAUACCGGUGGCGAAGGCGGCCCCCUGGACGAAGACUGACGCUCAGGUGCGAAAGCGUGGGGAGCAAACAGG
Molecule: ribosomal RNA, 429 nt
Filed under: Chloroflexota bacterium
Lineage: Bacteria; Bacillati; Chloroflexota
Description: Chloroflexi bacterium partial 16S ribosomal RNA
Rfam family: Bacterial small subunit ribosomal RNA
Source: RNAcentral